RNA transcript from Mandrillus leucophaeus (drill), 3266 nucleotides. RefSeq lists it as uncharacterized. NCBI's taxonomy places the organism in Eukaryota, Metazoa, Chordata, Mammalia, Primates, Cercopithecidae. The record is from RefSeq and is a predicted model, not a curated record. The transcript has a single exon.
GCCAUGAGGGGACGGUCUGUCUGCUUGGAGGGGCUUCUGCAAACAUUCAUGUAUGCCCCUGGUUUCGUUUGUUAGGGAGGAGGAGUGGGGGUGGCCUAGGGAGAGGAUGAGGAAGGGGUUCUGGGUGGCAUCCUUGGGGUACUAACCCUCCCUUCACCCUGUGCUCUGAAUUUCCUCAUGGCCCUUUUCUUUCCCUGGUAGAAGGUGCAGAAGGUAGGCUUUGCCACCUUCCCUGGGUCUGGCACCAAGCUUGGGGGUCUUGUACACUUUCCCUUCUCUAACUGGGAUGUGGGCCCAUUUCCCUAGAUGAGCUUGCUGAGACUCAGGACAGCUGGUGUCAGAGCUGGGACUUCCCAGUCUUGCACAAACAACCUGUGCUUUUUUGAGUCCACCAAAUAAGGCCUCCUACCUGGUCCGGUUCAUCCCUGCCAGCGCCCAGCAGAUGCAGCCUGGUGCGUCCCCACCCCUGCCAAGUGCCCAGGAGUGCUCUGGAAGAGGAGUGCAGGGAUGAGGAAGGAGGCUGUGCCCUCCAGGGGACUCAGCUGCGUUAGAGAAGGUGCUGCUGUGCUGGCGGGGGUCUCCGGACAUCCCAGGCAGGGGUCGUUUCUGAUCAGGGAUCUCUUCACCAGACCACCAUAUUCCUUUUCCAGCCCUCGUCUCUUGCAUGUGGGGGUGCAGUAUUUGGCUCUCACAUCCCCACAUUCCAGCUGGUGGGGGUUUGAGCUGGAUGUUCCUUCUGCUCCCCACUCCCCACUCCUGGUCCCCACCCCAUGCAAGGCUCCCUUGCCCCCACUCUUUGUCUCCAGCUUUCACAGCCUCAGUGGGCAGGCACCUGGGCCCCUUGCCGCCCCGGGUCUCAUCCACCCGCCUCUUCUUUCUCAGCCUGAGCUUUACUGUGAGGUCUGGGAGUCACACCUUGGUCCCUGCCAUGCCUGUCCCCAGGAGCACCCACAUGGGUCCCCUGAUUCUCCCCUCCCCUGGGCUUUGCUGAGGAGCCCUUGCAGUGUGGCCUUGGUGUCUGCCCCAUGCCCAUCCCCUGUUCUUGAGAACCUGGAAGCAGAGGGGGCCCCUUCUAUUGCUCCCAAGGGGCUCCACAGUAGGAGAUUCUGAGUCUGUGUUUAGGUGUCUAUUCCUGGAUGGGGCUUGGGGUCCCCUCAGGCCAGGCCUGUGUGUGACCUAAGGCUGGGGGGGCUCUAUUAGGCACCUAGUGUCCCUUGGAGUUGGGCGGGGCUGGGUCCCGGACUCCUGAGGGUGGGUGGGGAGACAGGCUCAGGGAGAUUUCCAUGAAGCUGCCCUUGAACCCCUGCUCUGAGGCCUGCACUGCCCUGACCCUUUACACCCUGCCUCCUGCACUAGUAGGCGCCUAGUAGAUGCUCGCCACCUGUGGAGGGCGGGGUUUAAAUGGCUGGAAAGAGCUGAGUGGGCUGGUUGGCUAGUGUACGUGCAUUUGUUUAAGAGGAAAGGGUGUGUUUCUUGGCAAAGACUCUUCGGAGGAAACUCUGAACUGGGGAAGGGUCUCUACCUGUUCUGGAGCCUCACUGCCCUUCCUGCCAGUCUGGGGACAAACUCACUGGUGGGUUUUCCCCAGUGGAAACACAGUGUUUUGGAAAUAUUUAGAUCUAGGAUAAAACUUCAUCUGGACCAACAUGUGUGUGUUGGUGUUGUGGCCCAGGUGAUUUUGAGAAUGUAGAAUACAUUUGGCAAUUUCCAAAUGGAGGGAUGACCUGCUCCUCCGCCCCCCAUGCCCUCCCUGAGGCUGGAGACCUCAGAAGCCCAUGCCUUGGGAGGAGCCUGUUCCACCUGAGAAGGCUUUGUCCCCACCAUUGGUGAUAAUCAGCGUUGACCUGUGAGGCACCUGCCAGGUUUGGGAUGCAGCCUUAGAUAUUCCAAAAACUGGGGGUUGAGGAGUGGGGGGAUCAGACCCCAGAGCUUGAGUCCUUUUGUCUGUCUCAGUCCCGAAGAAUGGUGCAUGGGCACCAGGUAGGUUACUUGAACCACCCUGAGCCUCGAUUUUCCCACCUAUUAGAAACGGGGUAAUUCAUGACAGUGUCUGCUCGGGAGAUGGCCGUGACCCCGAGAAUCCUGGCUGCAUGCCUUAGGCUGGCUCGUGAGACUCAAGGUCUGGGUUCAAGGCCCCCCCAACCCCUUCUGACUGUGUGGCCUGGGCGAGUUUGCUGUUUUUAACCUGGAAAGCAUCACACUUGCCUGGCACGGUUAUUGUGGGAUUCAAUGAGAUUGUUUGUGUGAAAUAAAUGCUUUGUGACCUGGCACACAGGCGCUCUCACCCCGGCUCUCCUGGUGGGCCUGGACCGCUGGGUACUGGCUGCAGAGGCCCCUGUGCUCCUGGAACUGUCUGCGCUGGUCCCAGGGACUCUCGAGCAGAGUGGAGGGCAAGGGGGGAAGCACCAGCCUGCUCUGGGGAGACAGUGGCAGAGGGAAGGGUUUGCUUUUAAAUACAGACACUCAGCAGGUUCAGAUGGGAGAUGAUCAGAGGGGAAAUGUUUACAACCCUCAGGAGGAGGAGGAGUCCGAGUUUUAAGAAAAACACCAAAGCUGGAUAGGUUGGGCAGAAGAGCUGGGGAUAGCAUUUUUAGAAAGGAUGAGAUUCCUGGGUUCUGGGUUAUCAAGGUGAGAGAAAUCAGGGGUUGCCAGCUGUAGGUGGGCGUCAGGACCAGAGUGAUGCUUCCAGAAGUUUCUACAAGUGGGCAGAGUCCAAGGUACGGCAGGGUACACCAGAAGUUGAGGGGCACUAGGUAGACGGGCUGAGCUGGUGGCUGGGUGCUCCCCUCACCCUCCAUGCUGCUAGGAGCCCCUGAGCACGGACUCGCUCUCUUCUCCUCCCUCCUGGGGCCUGCCUGUCUGUCUGUGAACUCUUGUCGGCCAGCGAGGCCGGGAGCAGGUGGCCUUCAUCUGCAACUGUGUCUCUCUCAGCCUCCACAGCCACGGGGACGCCCUGCACCUAUUCCCACGGGACAGGCUGGACCCAGAGACUCUGGACCCGGGGCCUCCCCUUGAGUAGAGACCCGCCCUCUGACUGAUGGACGCCGCUGACCUGGGGUCAGACCCGCGGGCUGGACCCCUGCCCACCCCACAGGAACCCCGAGGCCUAGGGGAGCUGUUGAGCCUUCGGUGUCUGCAUGUGGGAAGUGGGCUUGUUCACCUACCUCACAGGGCUGUUGUGAGGGGCGCUGUGAUACGGUUCCAAAGCAUGGGCUUGGCGCACCCCACUGUGCUCUCAAUAAAUGUGUUUCCUGUCUUAACAAAAA